CCUACGGGAGGCUGCAGUGGGGAAUAUUGCACAAUGGGCGCAAGCCUGAUGCAGCCAUGCCGCGUGUGUGAAGAAGGCCUUCGGGUUGUAAAGCACUUUCAGCGGGGAGGAAGGCGUUAAGGUUAAUAACCUUGGCGAUUGACGUUACCCGCAGAAGAAGCACCAGCUAACUCCGUGCCAGCAGCCGCGGUAAUACGGAGGGCGCAAGCGUUAAUCGGAAUUACUGGGCGUAAAGCGCACGCAGGCGGUCUGUCAAGUCGGAUGUGAAAUCCCCGGGCUCAACCUGGGAACUGCAUUCGAAACUGGCAGGCUAGAGUCUUGUAGAGGGGGGUAGAAUUCCAGGUGUAGCGGUGAAAUGCGUAGAGAUCUGGAGGAAUACCGGUGGCGAAGGCGGCCCCCUGGACAAAGACUGACGCUCAGGUGCGAAAGCGUGGGGAGCAAACAGGAUUAGAUACCCUGGUAGUC
RNAcentral lists this ribosomal RNA (465 nucleotides) under uncultured Klebsiella sp. Its description in RNAcentral is "bacterial SSU rRNA". It matches the Rfam family "Bacterial small subunit ribosomal RNA", at positions 338 to 795 of the family's 1533-position model. The record is from RNAcentral. Lineage: Bacteria; Pseudomonadati; Pseudomonadota; Gammaproteobacteria; Enterobacterales; Enterobacteriaceae.